CGAAGACUGCGAAGUGGAGCAAAUCCCUAAAAGCCAUCUCAGUUCGGAUUGCAGGCUGCAACUCGCCUGCAUGAAGCUGGAAUUGCUAGUAAUCGCGGAUCAGCAAGCCGCGGUGAAUACGUUCCCGGGUCUUGUACACACCGCCCGUCACACCAUGGGAGCCGGGAAUGCCCGAAGUCAGCGGCCCAACCGAAAGGGGGGAGCUGCCGAAGGCAGGCCUGGUGACUGGGGUGAAGUCGUAACAAGGUACC
This 251-nucleotide ribosomal RNA is filed under the name uncultured bacterium. RNAcentral's name for it is "partial 16S ribosomal RNA". It matches the Rfam family "Bacterial small subunit ribosomal RNA", at positions 1250 to 1500 of the family's 1533-position model. The record is from RNAcentral.